This 253-nucleotide ribosomal RNA is filed under the name uncultured bacterium. RNAcentral describes it as "partial 16S ribosomal RNA". It matches the Rfam family "Bacterial small subunit ribosomal RNA", at positions 524 to 776 of the family's 1533-position model. The record is from RNAcentral.
UACGGAGGAUGCAAGCGUUAUCCGGAUUUAUUGGGUUUAAAGGGUGCGUAGGCGGACUGGUAAGUCAGUGGUGAAAUGUCUCAGCUUAACUGAGGACCUGCCAUUGAUACUGCCAAUCUUGAGUAUAAUUGAUGUGGAUGGAAUGUGUCAUGUAGCGGUGAAAUGCUUAGAUAUGACACAGAACACCGAUAGCGAAGGCAGUCCACAAAACUAUAACUGACGCUGAGGCACGAAAGCGUGGGGAGCAAACAGG